GGAGGGUGCAAGCGUUGUCCGGAUUUAUUGGGUUUAAAGGGUGCGUAGGCGGCCCGAUAAGUCAGUGGUGAAAGCCUCCAGCUCAACUGGAGAACUGCCAUUGAUACUGUCGGGCUUGAGUACAGACGAGGUUGGCGGAAUUGAUGGUGUAGCGGUGAAAUGCAUAGAUACCAUCAAGAACUCCGAUUGCGUAGGCAGCUAACUAGGCUGUAACUGACGCUGAGGCACGAAAGCGUGGGGAGCGAACAGGAUUAGAUACCCUGGUAGUCCACGCUGUAAACGAUGAUCACUCGAUGUCGGCGAUAAACUGUCGGCGUCUUAGCGAAAGCGUUAAGUGAUCCACCUGGGGAGUACGCCCGCAAGGGUG
This 367-nucleotide ribosomal RNA is filed under the name uncultured organism. RNAcentral's name for it is "bacterial SSU rRNA". It matches the Rfam family "Bacterial small subunit ribosomal RNA", at positions 527 to 896 of the family's 1533-position model. The record is from RNAcentral.